UACGAUACGAGUUUGAUCCUGGCUCAGGAUGAACGCUAGCGGCAGGCCUAACACAUGCAAGUCGAGGGGUAUAGUUCUUCGGAACUAGAGACCGGCGCACGGGUGCGUAACGCGUAUGCAAUCUACCUUUUACAGGGGAAUAGCCCAGAGAAAUUUGGAUUAAUGCCCCAUAGUGUUAUAGAAUCGCAUGGUUUUAUAACUAAAGUUCCAACGGUAAAGAUGAGCAUGCGUCCCAUUAGUUAGUUGGUAAGGUAACGGCUUACCAAGACAAUGAUGGGUAGGGGUCCUGAGAGGGAGAUCCCCCACACUGGUACUGAGACACGGACCAGACUCCUACGGGAGGCAGCAGUGAGGAAUAUUGGACAAUGGGCGCAAGCCUGAUCCAGCCAUGCCGCGUGCAGGAAGACGGUCCUAUGGAUUGUAAACUGCUUUUGUACAGGAAGAAACACUCCCUCGUGAGGGAGCUUGACGGUACUGUAAGAAUAAGGAUCGGCUAACUCCGUG
Molecule: ribosomal RNA, 504 nt
Filed under: uncultured bacterium
Lineage: Bacteria
Description: bacterial SSU rRNA
Rfam family: Bacterial small subunit ribosomal RNA
Source: RNAcentral